CCUCGAGGUAGAGCGCGGCGGCACCGGCGACGUGGGGGGUCGCCAUCGACGUACCGGAGAUGGUGUUGGUCGAGCCGUCGUUCCAGGCC
This 89-nucleotide transfer RNA is filed under the name Nocardioides luteus. RNAcentral describes it as "tRNA-Pro". Lineage: Bacteria; Bacillati; Actinomycetota; Actinomycetes; Propionibacteriales; Nocardioidaceae. The record is from RNAcentral.